RNAcentral lists this transfer RNA (72 nucleotides) under Capra hircus (goat). It matches the Rfam family "tRNA". Rfam says of the family: Transfer RNA (tRNA) molecules are approximately 80 nucleotides in length. Their secondary structure includes four short double-helical elements and three loops (D, anti-codon, and T loops). RNAcentral also lists the same sequence under 1 other name. Lineage: Eukaryota; Metazoa; Chordata; Mammalia; Artiodactyla; Bovidae. The record is from Rfam by way of RNAcentral.
UCCCUAGCAGUCCAGUGGUUAGGAUUUGGCACUUUCACUGCCAUGACCCAUGUUCAAUCCCUGGUAAGGGAA